GAUGAAGAACGUAGCGAAAUGCGAUAAGUAAUGCGAAUUGCAGAAUUUCCGUGAGUCAUCGAAUCUUUGAACGCACAUUGCGCCCAUUGGUAUUCCGAUGGGCAUGCCUGUUCGAGCGUCAUUAUCCUCCCUCAAACCUCGGGUUUGGUGUUGGACCCAAGUUGUGUGAACAACUGGUCUCAAAGACAAUGACGGCGUCCGUGGGACCCUCGGUGCAACGAGCUUUUAGGAGCACGCGUCGAGUUUCAAGGACCUUCCGGGCCGGUCUCCUUUACUAUUUUUACAAGGUUGACCUCGGAUCAGGUAGGAAUACCCGCUGAACUUAAGCAUAUCAAUAAGCGGAGGA
RNAcentral lists this unclassified non-coding RNA (346 nucleotides) under soil metagenome. Its description in RNAcentral is "partial contains 5.8S ribosomal RNA, internal transcribed spacer 2, and large subunit ribosomal RNA". The stretch from base 1 to 121 matches the Rfam family "5.8S ribosomal RNA", at positions 35 to 154 of the family's 154-position model. The record is from RNAcentral.